GAGAGGAGAGGCUCUGUUGGGAUUUUGAGAAAUGAGAAUGCUGCCUUCAGGCAGAGAGGACGGGAGAGAGCUUUGCAGAAGGUGGGCAAGCGUGUCGAGGAGAGCCCAAGCCUAGAAGCUGGAGGUGGACCUGUUUUGUGGGAGCAGGGCAUCCACAGAGAGAAAUUCAGUGGAAAAUAAGGGCUAAGGCCACAAAAAGAGAGCCUUUAAAGAGGUUAUUCUAACAGUAAGAUUCGUAAAAGCAGUUUACUGGGUACUGCUUCUCAAACUUGAAUGCAGCCGUGGGUUCUCUUUGGACCUGGUUAAAAAUGCAGAUUUCAAUUUAGUUGGUCUGGACUGGGGCCAUAUAUUCUGGAUGUCUAAGAUGUUGCUAGCGCCAGGACCUCACCUUGAAUAGGAAGAGAUGGAGGACUAUGAGAAAAACGGUGAAGAUCUGAUUGGAAAACAUGGAGUGAAACUGUGGGUUUGGUUGGUGCUGAGAGUCAGUCUGUGAUCCUGGAGGCAGAAUCACCGGGACCCGCUUUCAAGAGGUUCUGGGAGGAAGCUGCAAACCGACGGAGGUGGUAUCGGAGGUGUGCUAGAGACUGGAAGUUCUGGUAACUAGGGAAGCAGGCAAGGUAACCAGAGACAUGGAUGUGGGAGCAGUUGCUAGGGAGAGGCAACAGCAUCCUGCCAGAUGGUGCCUGACAUCUCCACGGCAUGGAACUCUUUUUUAACAGACUGAGCUUGUUCUUGCAGCACAGGGUCUUAGAACUGCCGUCCGGGGAAGGCAGUUCAGAGCCCAAGAGCCCUUUGAAAUGGACAGGCUUUGGUGGCUACCGAAGCAAGGACUGUGACCAGAAGGCAACACGAAACUGGAGUCUGUGAGCAGACAACAUAGAGAAGCUUCCAACAGAUUCCACGAAGUGGGAGAGUAUGCUAAAACAGAAGACAUCAAAUACAACUUCAUACACUUUCUAGUCCUCCACUGUGGUGCUCAGACACUCUGCAUCUGAGGCUGUGCCAGUCCGUAGUCAUUCAUAAAGCACAGAUCCUGCCAUCCAGAUCCUUGCCAUACGAGCCAAUGGUGUCUUGCCAUUGCCAAAGAUGUUUCUUAGGCUUUAAUGAGCUUCCUAAUGGAACACGCCAAGCCCAGUGACUUUGAUUCUGAAAGAGGUCUUUGGAAACAAAAUGAAACGAGGUGGCUUAAUUUAAAUCUUUAUUUUUUAGCUGUAAAACUCUCAUAAGAAAUAAAUUCUUACCUUUUUCCAAGGACUUACGGUGGCAAACAUUUGAAAAUAUCACAUCUCCUGGCACCAACACCCUUGAAGUGAACUUGAGGGCCCAGCCCCAAUUUCAGGCUGCAUCUGUAAGGGUGGUAAUGAUUACUUGGGCCCUAUUGAAAUAAGAGGAAUACAGUUGCUAUGGAGAAGGUUUAACAUGUUGGUUCCUCUCUGGGAUUCCAAGUAUAACAAACAAACAGGCAGAAAGAUAAAAGAGCUUUCCAGGCUGUGGAGGGGUCAGGAAAACAGAAAUUGUUAUCUGCUUUUGAGAUUGAAACAGGCAAACAGGGGACCAUUCUUAUUCUUGGCAAAAGGCUCUCACUCGUAAAAUAGGUUUUUCUCAGAGAUCCAUCUGAACCCUCCUAACAUGGGACCUUAGAUCUGACAGCUUCUGGGGCAGAAGAAAUAUCUGCGAGACUGGUGUGGUGGAACGGCCGUGGCUGGGAGCUGAGUUGCAGCCGGCCACCUCCGUUCAUUCCCUGCCUUCUUCCUGGAAUGUGUAGGAGGACACAUGAGGCUUG
RNAcentral lists this long non-coding RNA (1783 nucleotides) under Homo sapiens (human). Its description in RNAcentral is "HSALNT0203875". The record is from RNAcentral. Lineage: Eukaryota; Metazoa; Chordata; Mammalia; Primates; Hominidae.